AACGAACGCUGGCGGCAUGCCUAACACAUGCAAGUCGAACGAUGCCUUCGGGCAUAGUGGCGCACGGGUGCGUAACGCGUGGGAAUCUGCCCUUGGCUUCGGAAUAACAGUUAGAAAUGACUGCUAAUACCGGAUGAUGUCCCCCUGAGAGAUCUUGGGGACCAAAGAUUUAUCGGCCAGGGAUGAGCCCGCGUAGGAUUAGGUAGUUGGUGGGGUAAAGGCCUACCAAGCCGACGAUCCUUAGCUGGUCUGAGAGGAUGAUCAGCCACACUGGGACUGAGACACGGCCCAGACUCCUACGGGAGGCAGCAGUGGGGAAUAUUGGACAAUGGGGGGAACCCUGAUCCAGCAAUGCCGCGUGAGUGAUGAAGGCCUUAGGGUUGUAAAGCUCUUUUACCAGGGAUGAUAAUGACAGUACCUGGAGAAUAAGCUCCGGCCAACUCCGUG
This 447-nucleotide ribosomal RNA is filed under the name uncultured bacterium. RNAcentral describes it as "partial 16S ribosomal RNA". It matches the Rfam family "Bacterial small subunit ribosomal RNA", at positions 29 to 507 of the family's 1533-position model. The record is from RNAcentral.